GAUGAACGCUGGCGGCGUGCCUAAUACAUGCAAGUCGAGCGAACAGACGCGGAGCUUGCUCCUCUGACGUUAGGGGCGGACGGGUGAGUAACACGUGGAUAACCUACCUAUAAGACUGGGAUAACUUCGGGAAACCGGAGCUAAUACCGGGUAAUAUAUUGAACCGCAUGGUUGAAUAGUGAAAGACGGUUUUGCUGUCACUUAUAGAUGGAUCCGAGCCGCAGUAGCUAGUUGGUAAGGUAACGGCUUACCAAGGCAACGAUGCGUAGCCGCCCUGAGAGGGUCAUCGGCCACACUGGAACUGAGACACGGCCCACACUCCUACGGUAGGCAGCAGUAGGGACUCUUCCGCAAGGGGGGAAAGCCUGACGGAGCAACGCCGCGUGAGUGAUGAAGGUCUUCUGAUCGUAGAGCGCUGUUAUUAGUGAAGAACAAAUGUGUAAGUAACUGUGCACGUCUUGACGGUACCUAAUCAGAAAGCCCCGGCUAACUACGUG
This 497-nucleotide ribosomal RNA is filed under the name uncultured bacterium. Its description in RNAcentral is "partial 16S ribosomal RNA". It matches the Rfam family "Bacterial small subunit ribosomal RNA", at positions 28 to 507 of the family's 1533-position model. The record is from RNAcentral.